GAGGAGCGUGCUGGUAGGAAAUUGGGUGGUCUUAAGGUCCUCAACUCUUACUGGAUCAAUGAGGAUUCAACAUAUAAAUACUUUGAAGUGAUCCUGAUUGAUUCAGCCCAUGCUGCUAUAAGGAAUGACCCAAGAAUCAACUGGAUCUGCAACCCAGUGCACAAGCAUAGAGAGCUUCGUGGACUGACUUCAGCUGGAAAGAAAUACAGGGGUCUCCGAGGAAGAGGACACUUGCACCACAAGGCAAGACCCUCAAGAAGGGCAACCUGGAAGAGG
Molecule: unclassified non-coding RNA, 276 nt
Filed under: Hevea brasiliensis (rubber tree)
Lineage: Eukaryota; Viridiplantae; Streptophyta; Magnoliopsida; Malpighiales; Euphorbiaceae
Source: RNAcentral